RNAcentral lists this long non-coding RNA (3017 nucleotides) under Homo sapiens (human). Its description in RNAcentral is "HSALNT0045090". Lineage: Eukaryota; Metazoa; Chordata; Mammalia; Primates; Hominidae. The record is from RNAcentral.
AUUUAAAUGUGAGAAUUACAAUAUCUGAUUUAUUAUUCACAGCAUAAUUUUUUAUUAAAUAAACUUUCAAUCCCAUUAUCAUUUUUAAACUACUUAGCUCCAAUCAAAAUGAAAAGGCCCAUUUCUUCAUCUUUAUUGAUGUCUUUCACGUUUCAGUGCCCUGGAAAGAGACUUUCUCUACUUUUAAAUGAAGAAUUCUGGGUUGCUCAUUAUAUCUGAAAGAUGGAUGUAAUGGAAAUGAGUGAUGGAACAGCUCUACAACAGCAACUCUGUGCUUCACUGUGGUUUGCUGCCCUGGAAUAAUAUCUGCUACUUUUGUCUUCACCAAAAUCAUGUGGUUCCCUCACCAGUGUCAUUUACUCGCCCAAACUUUAUCUUAGUGGUGGAGGUGGAUUAGUCCCCUGAACCUUGAGAACAUGUUUUUUUCUUAUGCAUCAUAAUUGGGAAGUUUUUCUUCAAAAUAUCACUAGGCUGAAAAUGAAGUUCUUUAAAAGACUUAUAGAAAGGUAGCGAAAAGAUGUUUUCUUUUUAAUGGAUGUCAAUGGAAAUGCAGUAUAUAUAGUAGGUCCUGAGAAGACUUAACAGAUAUGUGACAUGAAAAUAUGUUUCCUCUCAAAUCCAUGCUUGCCAGAACUUUAUUUUUAAAUAGCAGAAGCCUUGCAAGGAAAUGUGAAAGGCUGGUACUAUUAAAAAGGUCUGAGUUAUUAAAAAAAAUACAUAUGCAUUCCUACAUGAGACAUAUACCUUAAAGAAGGACUGCCUUCUAACGCAGAUUUUGUUUUUGUUUUUUUACUUGGCAUAACAGAGAAGUCAACGCGCUAAUCAAUAAGUGCCAUCUAUUUUUGAUUGACCUUAAUUUUCUGAAUGACUGCUUUUCUUCAAAUAUUUUAAGUCAUGACUAAAUUUCAUUUAAUAAGAAAUGUUUAGGUUAGUUUGUAAACAAGAAAUCAGAUAUUAUGAAUCCAAACCUGGAAUUACAUUUCAAUAAUGCUUAAUUUAUUUCAUAUUUUAGCCAACUGAUUUGUAAUUGUAUUAAGGCUCCCAGGAUAAACUCCAUGGUUAAUUUGGCCCUUUAAAGGUCAACAACAUAUAAGGGCAUAUGUACUUUAAUUCUACUUUAUUCUGAUAUUUCAUAAAACAAUAAUGUAUUAGUCUGUUCUCAUGCUGCUGAUAAAGAUAUACCCAAGACUGAGUAAUUUAUAAAGGAAAGAGAUUAAUUGACUCACAGUUCCACAUGGCUGGGGAGGCCUCACAAUCAUGGAGGAAGGCAACGAGGAGCAAAGUGAUGUCUUACAUGUAGGCAGGCAAGAGAGCUCAUGUGCUGGGGAACUCCGCUUUAUAAAGCCAUCAGAAAUUGUGAGACUUAUUCACUAUUAUGAGAACAGCACUGAAACGACCACACCCAUGAUUCAGUUACCUCCCACUGGGUACCUCCAACGACGUGUGGGAAUUAUGGGAGAUACAAUUCAAGAUUUGGGUGAGGACACAGCCAAAUCAUAUCAAAUGGCAUGAGAUUUAUUGUAAAGAACAGGGAUAAUAUUACCGUCUUCAUGGGACUGUUCUACAGAGAAAAUGAAAUAAAUCAUGAAAUACUAUUUGGACCUAGGGAAUAUUUAACAGUUGCAGAUGUCACUGCACAGCUGCCAGUCUUCGAUUUUGAGAAGUCAUGGAGGACAAUUCUCUGCAAGAUAGCAAGUGGAGUAUCAGCUUACACUGAUACCUGGGAAGCUAGCGGAAAAAAUCAUUAAGCAAUUAAUUAGCAACGAUUUAAAAGAACCAAGAAGUUGGAAAGCAACCCAUAUGGCUUUAAGAUCAAAUGGUACCUUUCCAAUUUUGUUGCCCUCUCUAAUUGAGGAACAGCCCAAAAGGUAAGAAAUCAUGCAGGUGGAGUCCUGCAUGAUUGUCAAACCAUCAGUGCAAGCUAAGUUGUUCAAAACUCUAAGUAUCAUCUAUUUAUUUUUGGCAUGAUAUAUGUGAUUAUAUUCAUUAACAGGUAAUAUACUGUAUUGUGUGCCCUGUGUUAGAGACUGGUAAUGGGAUAAGCAAUGAGUUCAGGGAUUUCGUAAAAGGUUGAUCAAUUUGCCAAGAUUUCAUAAGAGUUGAUAUGACUACACCACAGACUCUGAAAUGGUGUUUUUAAAUAACACUAUCAAGAGCAAAGGAAAUCAAGCUAUUCGUAAUUAGUUUUCUAUGACAAAGUUGGAAUGGCUGUGUCAUUGUUUUACAAAAUGUCAAAGUGCAGCAGAAGGAGAAGAAAUCUUUCGUGUCUGGUGAUUAUUCAUAGAUCUGGGUGCCCUGAGAGCAGUAUUUCUCCAAAGGGUUGCCUGCACCAAUAGCUGACUCAUCUGUGGAACUUGUUCAAAAUGCAAGCCCCUAAGCCCCUUGGCAGGCUUAUUGAAUGAAAGCUCUGAAUGUGAAUUUUAUCACAGUGGAGACUCUAAUACUCAUGGAAAUUUGAGAUCUGCAGAGAAAAAUGGCAUUAUUCGAUAUGUAAUAAGCAUUCUUAAUAUGAAUAUGGCACAAAUAAUUGAGAAUAUCAAUACUCAGAUGAGUCUAAAUAUGAGUGGAUUAGUCUAGAAAACUUUAGUCCAGAAAACCGAAAUACAUAUCAGUGAUUUUGAAACAUCUGGAAGUGAGCCAUUCAAAAACAGAAUAAAUUUCAGUGGUGAAAGCAAGAGAUAUGUGGUCUGUGUGUCAUAAUUAGCUAUUCCCUUUGAUGGGGACUUUCCAGGUUACCUCCUCAGAGGAUCUUCACUCCUUCUAGUUUUGUUUUGUUUUGUUUUAUUUUGUUUGCUCCAGGUAAAGAAUGACAUUUUAAAAAUACUGAUUCCCAGGCCCAUCCCAGACUAGUUUAAACAGAAUUUCUGCAGGUAGAGUUUAGACAGUGGGAUUUUUUAAGGAUUGAGAACCACCAUGUAGAUAAGCAGAGGUCAGGUAUGGGAGGUGGCAAGGAGAGAGAGAUAAACAUGCUUUCUUACUCAAGUAUGCUUGGUUACAAAAAUGGAACUGGAAAAUAA